Molecule: ribosomal RNA, 400 nt
Filed under: uncultured bacterium
Lineage: Bacteria
Description: bacterial SSU rRNA
Rfam family: Bacterial small subunit ribosomal RNA
Source: RNAcentral
CAAGGAAUUUUCGGCAAUGGGCGCAAGCCUGACCGAGCAACGCCGCGUGCAGGAUGACGGCCUUCGGGUUGUAAACUGCUUUUGCUAGGGAUGAUACGGACAGUACCUGGCGAAUAAGCCCCGGCUAACUCUGUGCCAGCAGCCGCGGUAAUACAGAGGGGGCAAGCGUUGUCCGGAUUGACUGGGCGUAAAGCGCACGUAGGUGGCAUGGUAAGACUCGUGUGAAAGCGCCUCGCUUAACGAGGCGUCGCCAUGGGUGACUGCCAGGCUUGAGGCUUGCAGAGGUGGGUGGAAUUGCCGGUGUAGUGGUGAAAUGCGUAGAGAUCGGCAGGAACACCAAGGGGGAACCCAGCCCACUGGGCAAGGCCUGACACUGAGGUGCGACAGCGUGGGGAGCGAA